AUUGAACGCUGGCGGCAUGCUUUACACAUGCAAGUCGAGCGGCAGCACAGGGAGCUUGCUCCUGGGUGGCGAGUGGCGAACGGGUGAGUAAUGUAUCGGAACGUGCCUGGUAGUGGGGGAUAACUACUCGAAAGAGUGGCUAAUACCGCAUGAGAUCUUUGGAUGAAAGCGGGGGACCUUCGGGCCUCGUGCUACUGGAGCGGCCGAUAUCAGAUUAGGUUGUUGGUGGGGUAAAGGCCUACCAAGCCUGCGAUCUGUAGCUGGUCUGAGAGGACGACCAGCCACACUGGGACUGAGACACGGCCCAGACUCCUACGGGAGGCAGCAGUGGGGAAUUUUGGACAAAGGGCGCAAGCCUGAUCCAGCAAUGCCGCGUGCAGGACGAAGGCCUUCGGGUUGUAAACUGCUUUUGUACAGAACGAAAAGUCUCUGGCUAAUAUCUAGAGAUCAUGACGGUACUGUAAGAAUAAGCACCGGCUAACUACGUG
This 488-nucleotide ribosomal RNA is filed under the name uncultured bacterium. RNAcentral describes it as "partial 16S ribosomal RNA". It matches the Rfam family "Bacterial small subunit ribosomal RNA", at positions 30 to 507 of the family's 1533-position model. The record is from RNAcentral.